This 6241-nucleotide long non-coding RNA is filed under the name Brassica napus (rape). RNAcentral describes it as "long non-coding RNA (BNAP_LNC013052)". Lineage: Eukaryota; Viridiplantae; Streptophyta; Magnoliopsida; Brassicales; Brassicaceae. The record is from RNAcentral.
UGCUGAACUUACAAUAAGAAUACGCUCAAACUCUUGGAUAUUCUGUUUCAUAUCUCGAGUCAACUUGCUUUGAGAAGGCAUUUUAGCAAUACUUGGAUAGUAUGCCCUAGCCACAAAUAGGAGGUCCUUCAUGUGCUUCACCUUGGCAUCUUUCAUGGGCUCCUUAUUUUCCUCCCUCCAGAGGCAGUAGCUCCCAUAUUCCACUUGACAAGUUCUCUGAGUUUCAACAGCAUUUACCAUUGCCCCCUGACCACCUUUGUGCGAUACUUCGGUUAUUGUUUUCUGUUCACAGAAUACACCAGAAUAAGGACGAUUUGUGAGAGACACAAAAGACUAUUACAGAAACCAUUUGUACAUUUGCAGGGCUCGGUUGGGCAACAACAGCUGGGGACACUGGUAAUCCUGCAGAUUAAUUGAGGACAAGGCGUAAAGUUGCGGAUCAAAAUCAAAAUAAAAUACUGGGAGAGGAAUUUCAAGAAAGUGGAACUUGUAAAGUAAACCUCUGUUUUUAGAAUCACUGAUGCUUGUCCUAUUCAUAUCUCUGGAACCAGCGUUAAUGUCGGUUUUCUAGCAUGUCAAACAAGAAAAAAGCGUUAGUAUAAAAACUGUUACAAGCGCAUCUCAACCAAAGAAUCAAUUCUUCACCUUGCCCAACACACGUUGAGAUAUAUAAAGCAACAUAAUUCAUGAAUGUAUUUCAGCUUUCCAGUCGCAUGAGAAAACCACUCAUUCAUCUAAUUUUGUAUCCCUUUAAGCAACAUCACACAAAAGAAUGCAAGAUACAACAAGUGACUGACUAACUACAGCCUCUUCUGCUCUAGUUUAUUUGCUGGGCCAAAAAAAAAAGUUUUUAAGAUUCACUAUUUAACUAGUGGCAUCUUGCAUAAGGUUCCAUAAGUCAAACAGAGAGUUUACUUUUUUCUUUUUAAUAUUAGCAUUCUUCAAUACCAAGAUGGGAAACAUUAAUGCCAAGAACCACGACUGAAUACAUUCUUUUUUCAAUGGUGAAAAAUUCAACAUACAUAAACCAGAUCUGAACUGAACUGAGUGUGUCAAAACUUGAGAGCAGAGGGUAAGACGAAGAAGGGUUCCAACCAUUAUGGAGAUCUAAUUCUCCAGGUAUAGGAAAAGAUGUAAGCUUUUAUAAAAAGAAAAGAACUAAUCUAAUGCUACAACACAGAAAUCGAACAAGUCAAAUGCCUUCACUCUACACUGAAAGAAUGACAAGAUUGGAAACAUUAACGCCAAGAACUAUGACUGAACUCAUUCUUCAACGUUGGAAAAUCGAACAUAUACAGACCAGAUCUGAACUGAACUGAGUGUGAGCAGUAGGUAAGACAAUGAAGGGUUCCAACCAUUAUAAAGAUCUAAUCUUUUUUUUUUGUUAAAAGUUAAAACAACAACAACUAACCUAUACUAUAACACAUAAAUGGAAACAAGUCGAUGCCUUUGAAACAAGUGGAAGGACUAACCUUGGGAAGCACUGGAUUGAUUUUCUGGAGAACCUGAUCCACUCUGUUAGAUAGAUCUCUCUGUAAAAUCGAGGAAGGGAGAUCGAGAACCAGCAUACGAAUUAAAUCGAAAUAAAUGAAACGAAAGUUUAACAGUACCUGUGAAUGGUUAGUAGCAUUGGUUCUGCUUCUCUCGAACUGAUUUUUCAAAGAAAGAGCGUCAGAACAUUUACUAAACCACAUAAAGAAACCAAUUAAAGAAACGUAAUAAUGCUUACAGGAGAAGAAGGCUGGACAGUGACGAUUCCUGGAGAAAGAUAAAGUGGAGAUGAGAAUAGAUCUGAAAGAGAGAUCGAAGCGUGAAGGACAAGAAAGUACCUGGAGAGUGAAAGCUGUUGUGAAGGCCGAGCAAGAAAGCAAGAGGAACCAGCAUUGAGAGGAUAACGAGAACCAACACUCCAAUCACCAGAACUUUCCACCGGCGUUUUCCUCCUCCUCCACCACCACCACCGACUCCUCCGCCUUUCAUAUUUCCGAUUUAGAUUGAAUCAGUGCCUUUCGCAUUGGAUCUCAACAACGUCGGCGACGAUGUUUCUCGCCACGAGUACACUCACUCAAUCCACACUCUCUUUACUCGAUGCCAAUGUCUCUCUCCCCCCUCGCUUCACACACACACACACACUCACUCUCUCUAGCUUUCUCGCUCUUACUAGGUGCUGCACUAGUUAGCCCGAUCGCAUCGUCCCUUUACUUUUUUGCUAAUUCGGAAGAGAGAUGAGAUACACACUCUAUUUCGCACGUGUGUUUCUUUUUCCGCCGUUCGAUUGAUUAUUCAGCCCACUUGCAAGAUCUGUCUCCUGAUCAUAACACGUGUCUUUCUUCACACGGUGGUUACUUAUUUUCAUUUUUUUUUUUUAAUUUUUUUAUAGUCUCCCCGACAAAACCAAUACUCCCGGAUGCCUAGCUUUAUUCGUCACCGUCAACGCCAUUGACGCAGAUGCACUUGGUGACGGUGGAGAUGAGCUGAGACGAUCAAAUUACCGAAAGAUCGAAGCUUUUAUCCAAUUAUUACUGUCAAAAUGCGUUUGUUUAAGCUUCUGGUAUGUACGUUUUUUUACAUUGGUCGUGUAAUGUUUAUUUCCUUCUGUUUCAUGUGAUGCAGUGACUGUUCGAGCAUGUUAUUAGUCGCGACGAAAGCUUUGGCCUUUGCGCAUAACAAGGCUGUUCAUUUGACAACAAGGGAAGUGCAUUUCUUAAGCUCCAUUCUAGCUAGUGUCUCCUCCCCUCGUGUCUCUUGAGUGACUUGCCUGAAAGUUGGGCUCUUGACACUGACACGUCAUCCUCUCUUCUCUUUGGUAACUCUCUCCCUUCUUGUUUGUUCCAUAAUGGCUUUGGUGAUUAGAAGAAGCAACAUCGUUGGUCUGACAAUCUCCUUAUUACUGCAGGUAUUGUUGUAGGGGUCUUAUGCUUGAGCAUUUUGGUUGAGUAUUAACUGUGCCUUUAUGUUUCUAUGCUGACAUUCGUGGGCAAAGGUAUGACGCUACAGUAAGCACACGGUGCAUGCCUUUUCAAAGGACAUUACCAGGGAGGAUGAGAUUGUGGUUGCACUCGCGGGUGUACCUAAUCUUGUUCGUGGAAGUUGGCUGAAGCCUUGAGCAGUUGUCAUUGAUGUAGGACUCAUACGUUCCAGUAAAUAAAGACUCAUACAAGAGCAUGACAACCAUUAUGAUACAGAGAACCUUAGGUUAGAGAUCAAAUGAAAGGACCAAACUGUUUUUUCUUAGGUUUGUUUUGUUGUUUCUGGUUAGACAUUGAAGCAUGUAGUAUGAUAAGCGUCUUGUUGGGGAUGUAUGUUACGAGGAAGCUUUAGGUGUUGCCUCAGCGAUCACUCCUGUGCCUGGAGGAGUCGGACCCAUGACGGAUGGGUCCAUCUGAUAAAUGGUAUCUAUCUCUGUCAUGUCACUAAAUUUUGUUUAAACAAGGGGUUGAUGACAAAUUCACAAAUCCCUUUUUAACUUGAAUUAUCAUGUUGUUGCAUGCUAUGGUCUCUGAUAUAAGGCUCUUCUAUUUAUCAUAUACUCAUGAAUAUCAAGGUCAACAUAACCGCACCGAGGAGAGUUUAAUGCUUUGUUGUUGUAGUUCCUGGUUUCUAGAUACAGUCCAAUGUUUUUUUGUUUCAUUGACUCUUUACAAGAUGGGGAGUCAUAUAACGCAUGUGAAAGACGACGUUAGUUGGCCAAUUAUACAGAAAAUAAACUAAUUGUAACUUCUUUAUUUUUUGCAAGUUCAUUUACCAGCAACAAUACCAGUGGAAGUAUGGCGCGUUUCAUAUGCCACUGAUUCUUUUUUCUUUCCACUGGAAUAAAAAUAAAGAAGUUACAAUUAGUUUAUUUGGUGCACUGAGAAAUAGAUAAAAAUUCUCAUCACUUUCUAUCAAGUCAAACGCAACAAAAGUAAAAACUGACACAUGAACAAUGGGAAAAUAUAACACGAGGAAAAGAAUUGGCACACACCUCUGCCAAAAAUCAUAUACAACAUCAAAGUUUUCUUCACAUACUCUUUUUUUUUAAUCAAAGCUGAUUUUAAAUCAUCUUGAUUAAGUCUCUUAAAAAUCAAUUUGCUAUCAAUUUUAAAACCCACUUCUGCUUGCACUCUUCCCUUCAGCAUUUCUCACUGCAAUGCAUUCGGGUUUAUUUACCCCCACCAAAAAUGAGAUGUCUGCUUAACCACCAACUCUAAAUCUUUUCUUUGCGUCUGCCUGCUUCUAAAGCAUUGGCCCUGUAGCCUUUUUACUUACUCUCAUCAAGGGUUCACGUUACAGUCACUCAAGAAUCGAUCUCCCCGAUUCAGAUGCUUUCUCCAAUAGGUUUUGUACUGUGGGAUUCCCAGCUCUAGCCACGGCUUCAUGUUCCCAUUGUAGUGCAGAGUGGCUGCGUUUUUUAUCGUUUGGGUAUUGAUGUAGUAGUCAUAACCAAGCCCUGAUAGAGCCCAUUUGUCGUCAAGAGCAUAAACUUUGUCUUGAAACGUGAGCAAACUUGCUUGCAAUGCAAUUGCUUCUCUCGACUCACCUCCACCACUCAUCUGCUGCGCAUAGAAUAGAAAGCCAUCGCUCAGAAACAUACAAAAUCACCUAGCAAGAUCUAUUCUAGGUUUUUCAGAAACUGACCUGUUUGUAAAAUUUCUGGUAUGUUUCUGAAACUCCCAGUUCCCUCCAUCUAGCAAGAUCAAUGACAUUCAAUCCAGACAUCCAGAGACAAGCGUUAGCAUCAAAACUCCCUCCCUUGAGACUCUUUAGCUGACCCAAUCUCACAGAGCACUCUUUCACUGCACCAUUCACUUUUCCUUCCAUAUCAAGCUCCCAAAGAGGAGACAAGUCUCGCUGGACUACAACGUCAUGAUCCAGAAUCACAACUUUUUUCAACUUGUGAAAUAUCUUUGGGAAGAGGUAGUGAGAUUGAGAGAACAGGGAUAAGUAAUGUGUUCGUUUCCCUUGUGAUGCCAAAUUGUCGCCGCUGAGGAAGGAGACACGGAACUCCGCAGGCAAAGAGAGCUUCACAUCAGAAUUGUCCAGCUCGAGCUUUUCAAUGUUCAAUACUUGAAUAGCUGCUUGUUUGCAGGGAUUCCUGAUAAACCAUUGUUUCAUCGCAAAGUAAUUCUGCUCGUUUGUCAAUACAUGGAAAACAAAGUUUUUACUUUCCUGAAACAUCAACAACCAACCAAGAGUUAGAUAUAAAGGUUCUAUGACUGCAUCAAAAAAUAGAAACACAAAGUAAAGGAAACUGGAUUUAAUACAUUACCCUUGCGUGUAAAACAGUUGAGUUGAUAACAACGGAAGAUGCAAGUAUAUUGUCGGAGAUGACAACAAAGUGAAGCAAUGAGGGAUCUGAAAAUUUCUCACUAUCCUCAGUAUCAACUGAACCUGACUUGAAAUACUCCACAGUUAGUCUCAUUGACAAGCAAUGAAGACUCUUGGGCAUUGUAUGUACUGCAAGCUGGUAGAGGAACACGCUCUGUUUCAUGUGGAAACUAGCUUCAUCCUCGGUCAUGUCCAGGAUCUGUCUCAGUUUCUUGUCAACAUUGUUACAGUCGACUGGAAAAGACUUUGCCUUUGAAAUUACAGCUUCCAUCUUCUCAAAAUUUUUAUCAACCCUGGCAGAUCAGUGGAAUGAUGAAUAAGUCGAUUAUAGGAAAUAAACAGAUGAUUCUAUACAGAAAACCUUCACCCCAAAGAGAACAAACAGCAUCCUCUCCUAUCAUCUAGUGGAUUAGUUUAUUGAUUCUUACUUCUUAGGCUGGUUUAAGAUAUUUGCACAGACAAGGCUUUAAAAUAAGAGUAUUUUUGGGUGUGUGAUGCACAUUGAAAAAAUGAAGAGAGAAAAUUAUGACUGGGAGAGUUUAAACCACUAGAAAACAGGACGCCCAGACAGGAACUAACUAGGAGAGUUUAAUUUGACUAAAUCCGACUCUACGGGACUAACUAUCCGUACAAACAUGCUUAAAUCUUAACUGGUAAAGAACUUACUGUGGUGGAAGAUCAGCAUCUGCUGAACUUACAAUAAGAAUACGCUCAAACUCUUGGAUAUUCUGUUUCAUAUCUCGAGUCAACUUGCUUUGAGAAGGCAUUUUAGCAAUACUUGGAUAGUAUGCCCUAGCCACAAAUAGGAGGUCCUUCAUGUGCUUCACCUUGGCAUCUUUCAUGGGCUCCUUAUUUUCCUCCCUCCAGAGGCAGUAGCUCCCAUAUUCCACUUGACAAGUUCUCUGAGUUUCAACAGCAUUUACCAUUGCCCCCU